This 1401-nucleotide ribosomal RNA is filed under the name Phocaeicola vulgatus. Its description in RNAcentral is "bacterial SSU rRNA". It matches the Rfam family "Bacterial small subunit ribosomal RNA". The record is from RNAcentral. Lineage: Bacteria; Pseudomonadati; Bacteroidota; Bacteroidia; Bacteroidales; Bacteroidaceae.
CAUGCAAGUCGAGGGGCAGCAUGGUCUUAGCUUGCUAAGGCCGAUGGCGACCGGCGCACGGGUGAGUAACACGUAUCCAACCUGCCGUCUACUCUUGGACAGCCUUCUGAAAGGAAGAUUAAUACAAGAUGGCAUCAUGAGUCCGCAUGUUCACAUGAUUAAAGGUAUUCCGGUAGACGAUGGGGAUGCGUUCCAUUAGAUAGUAGGCGGGGUAACGGCCCACCUAGUCUUCGAUGGAUAGGGGUUCUGAGAGGAAGGUCCCCCACAUUGGAACUGAGACACGGUCCAAACUCCUACGGGAGGCAGCAGUGAGGAAUAUUGGUCAAUGGGCGAGAGCCUGAACCAGCCAAGUAGCGUGAAGGAUGACUGCCCUAUGGGUUGUAAACUUCUUUUAUAAAGGAAUAAAGUCGGGUAUGGAUACCCGUUUGCAUGUACUUUAUGAAUAAGGAUCGGCUAACUCCGUGCCAGCAGCCGCGGUAAUACGGAGGAUCCGAGCGUUAUCCGGAUUUAUUGGGUUUAAAGGGAGCGUAGAUGGAUGUUUAAGUCAGUUGUGAAAGUUUGCGGCUCAACCGUAAAAUUGCAGUUGAUACUGGAUAUCUUGAGUGCAGUUGAGGCAGGCGGAAUUCGUGGUGUAGCGGUGAAAUGCUUAGAUAUCACGAAGAACUCCGAUUGCGAAGGCAGCCUGCUAAGCUGCAACUGACAUUGAGGCUCGAAAGUGUGGGUAUCAAACAGGAUUAGAUACCCUGGUAGUCCACACGGUAAACGAUGAAUACUCGCUGUUUGCGAUAUACUGCAAGCGGCCAAGCGAAAGCGUUAAGUAUUCCACCUGGGGAGUACGCCGGCAACGGUGAAACUCAAAGGAAUUGACGGGGGCCCGCACAAGCGGAGGAACAUGUGGUUUAAUUCGAUGAUACGCGAGGAACCUUACCCGGGCUUAAAUUGCAGAUGAAUUACGGUGAAAGCCGUAAGCCGCAAGGCAUCUGUGAAGGUGCUGCAUGGUUGUCGUCAGCUCGUGCCGUGAGGUGUCGGCUUAAGUGCCAUAACGAGCGCAACCCUUGUUGUCAGUUACUAACAGGUUCCGCUGAGGACUCUGACAAGACUGCCAUCGUAAGAUGUGAGGAAGGUGGGGAUGACGUCAAAUCAGCACGGCCCUUACGUCCGGGGCUACACACGUGUUACAAUGGGGGGUACAGAGGGCCGCUACCACGCGAGUGGAUGCCAAUCCCCAAAACCUCUCUCAGUUCGGACUGGAGUCUGCAACCCGACUCCACGAAGCUGGAUUCGCUAGUAAUCGCGCAUCAGCCACGGCGCGGUGAAUACGUUCCCGGGCCUUGUACACACCGCCCGUCAAGCCAUGGGAGCCGGGGGUACCUGAAGUGCGUAACCGCGAGGAGCGCCCUA